AUUGAACGCUGGCGGAAUGCUUUACACAUGCAAGUCGAACGGCAGCACGGACUUCGGUCUGGUGGCGAGUGGCGAACGGGUGAGUAAUACAUCGGAACGUGCCCAAUCGUGGGGGAUAACGUAGCGAAAGCUACGCUAAUACCGCAUACGAUCUAAGGAUGAAAGCGGGGGAUCGCAAGACCUCGCGCGAUUGGAGCGGCCGAUGGCAGAUUAGGUAGUUGGUAGGGUAAAGGCCUACCAAGCCGACGAUCUGUAGCUGGUCUGAGAGGAUGAUCAGCCACACUGGGAGUGGGACACGGCCCAGACUCCUACGGGAGGCAGCAGUGGGGAAUUUUGGACAAUGGACGCAAGUCUGAUCCAGCCAUUCCGCGUGCAGGAUGAAGGCCCUCGGGUUGUAAACUGCUUUUGUACAGAACGAAAAGGCUCUGGUUAAUACCUAGGGCUCAUGACGGUACUGUAAGAAUAAGCACCGGCUAACUACGUGCCAGCCGCCGCGGUAA
Molecule: ribosomal RNA, 500 nt
Filed under: uncultured bacterium
Lineage: Bacteria
Description: partial 16S ribosomal RNA
Rfam family: Bacterial small subunit ribosomal RNA
Source: RNAcentral